GCCCGGGUGGCGAAACUGGCAGACGCAGCGGACUUAAAAUCCGCGGCCCCAUCGCGGGGUGUACGGGUUCGAGUCCCGUCCCGGGCACCA
This 90-nucleotide transfer RNA is filed under the name Rubrivivax sp. RNAcentral describes it as "tRNA-Leu". It matches the Rfam family "tRNA". Rfam says of the family: Transfer RNA (tRNA) molecules are approximately 80 nucleotides in length. Their secondary structure includes four short double-helical elements and three loops (D, anti-codon, and T loops). Lineage: Bacteria; Pseudomonadati; Pseudomonadota; Betaproteobacteria; Burkholderiales; Sphaerotilaceae. The record is from RNAcentral. RNAcentral also lists the same sequence under 2 other names.